Long non-coding RNA from Telopea speciosissima, 585 nucleotides. RefSeq lists it as uncharacterized. The record is from RefSeq and is a predicted model, not a curated record. The transcript has 2 exons. Lineage: Eukaryota; Viridiplantae; Streptophyta; Magnoliopsida; Proteales; Proteaceae.
UCAAAUGUAAAAACCAUCUCACUCUUAACAGUGAGAUCUAAAGAAUAUAUAUAUAAUCCAUAUAAUUGGAGAGAGAGAUCUGCAUAUAGGUACAAAUGCGGUGUCAGGAGGAUGUAAAACUGUUAUGUAAGAUGCAUAAAGUCCCUGGAAGAAGUCUUUCAUAUUGCAGUAAUGAGACUGACAUUUAUAUGAAGUUUUCGAAAACAGUCAGUUGGCCUUUAACUUUUCUGCAAUGAAAAAAAUCUAUUGAACAAGCCACCUUUACUUGUCUAGGUUGCACUUAGUGAAGAGAAAACUGUGUGACAGUGCUCAAGAGGCUUCCUAUAAAGAGGGAAAGUUCUCUCCCCUGUCUAAGAAGGAAUCCUUUGCACCUAUGUUGCUUCCCUCUCCACCCCCAACCUAAAAAAAGAAAAAAAGAAAGAAAACAUAAAAGCAAGAAGAGAAAAAGUAGUGCUUUGUGAUAAUUAUUCCUCCAAUAUAGGCCCUUCUGUGUAUUUUGAUAAUACAUAUGCCCACUCUUUGACUUAAGUUUGUAUUGAGUUCAGCACAGUAAUUAUCUACCACACACAUCGACUCCCACCCCCC